UACGUAGGGUGCGAGCGUUGUCCGGAAUUACUGGGCGUAAAGAGCUCGUAGGUGGUUUGUCGCGUUGUCCGUGAAAACUCACAACUCAAUUGUGGGCGUGCGGGCGAUACGGGCAGACUAGAGUACUGCAGGGGAGACUGGAAUUCCUGGUGUAGCGGUGGAAUGCGCAGAUACCAGGAGGAACACCGGUGGCGAAGGCGGGUCUCUGGGCAGUAACUGACGCUGAGGAGCGAAAGCGUGGGGAGCGAACAGG
This 253-nucleotide ribosomal RNA is filed under the name uncultured bacterium. RNAcentral's name for it is "partial 16S ribosomal RNA". It matches the Rfam family "Bacterial small subunit ribosomal RNA", at positions 524 to 776 of the family's 1533-position model. The record is from RNAcentral.